This 396-nucleotide ribosomal RNA is filed under the name uncultured bacterium. RNAcentral describes it as "partial 16S ribosomal RNA". It matches the Rfam family "Bacterial small subunit ribosomal RNA", at positions 523 to 918 of the family's 1533-position model. The record is from RNAcentral.
AUACGUAGGGGGCAAGCGUUAUCCGGAUUUACUGGGUGUAAAGGGAGCGUAGACGGCGAAGCAAGUCUGAAGUGAAAGGACGGGGCCCAACCCCGGAACUGCUUUGGAAACUGUUUGGCUGGAGUGCGGGAGGGGUAAGCGGAAUUCCUAGUGUAGCGGUGAAAUGCGUAGAUAUUAGGAGGAACACCGGUGGCGAAGGCGGCUUACUGGACCGUAACUGACGUUGAGGCUCGAAGGCGUGGGGAGCAAACAGGAUUAGAUACCCUGGUAGUCCACGCGGUAAACGAUGAUCACUAGGUGUCCGUGGGUAUGGCCCAUGGGUGCCGCAGCCAACGCAAUAAGUGAUCCACCUGGGGAGUACGUUCGCAAGAAUGAAACUCAAAGGAAUUGACGGGG